Aegilops tauschii subsp. strangulata is the source of this 1033-nucleotide long non-coding RNA. RefSeq lists it as uncharacterized. The record is from RefSeq and is a predicted model, not a curated record. NCBI's taxonomy places the organism in Eukaryota, Viridiplantae, Streptophyta, Magnoliopsida, Poales, Poaceae.
ACCGUAGCCCAAACAUAAGUGUAAAAAACAGUUCGUACGCAGCCCUGACUCGCCCGUCGCUGAAAUUGCUGCCCCGCACGAGGGUUUCUUCCGCCGCCGCGCCCCCAUCCCUCCGCCGCCGCCGUCCCUCCACCCUGUGGUACCCGUCCUCGAUCCGUGGUCACCAAAUCUGGACGAGAUCGGCAGGAUCCGCCGCAUGUCCCGCGACACCUAGCCGCAGCUGCUCGUCGGCCAUGCGGGGAGCACGGACGAGCUGCUCGUCGACGUCCAUCCCGCAGCCCCGCUGACGACCGUGCCCAGCCUCCUCGACAUCGCGCCUCUCCAACUUGCCGCAUGCCAAAUUUUAGUAGGGGAAGGAUGGAUACCGCAAGGCUUUCAUAUGUGUUUUGAUUUUGCCGAUAGGGAUUUCUAAUAUUCUGACAAGAGUCAAACUAGCAAUCGUGAAGAUGGAGAAUUCAUGCAACUCCAUCUUACUUCAACCCUCAGCCAUCUAAUUGGUGGUAUGGUGUGCUUCUGAUGGUAUUUCACGGCGUUUGUACCAGCAGCAUAGUAAAAAACUCCCGUCAACACGGCUUAUUUAUCGUUUCUGGAGGGCCUCACAGAUGAGCUAUUCAUCGGCGGCACCCUGCCAGUCAUUUAGAGGAUCUGCGGGAACAAAUAAACAAGCAGAGCGUCAUCAGUCAGGGACCAACAUCCAUGCCAACUGCCCAAGAUGACUGCUAAGGCAAUUAAUAUUCUCUCUCAAUCUUCAGCCACCAUCUGAUGUUAAUUGAUCUUGAUCUUCUCCACUCGCCAAUUCUGAAGACACUUCGGAUCUCACAAUAACUUCAUUCAGUCUUUAAGAAUAAUCAAAGGGUGCAAACGGGGCCAGUGAGUAGGCGGCGAGUAUACUACGCCGAGAAGCGAUACAGGGGCAUGAAUCUUGAGCCGGUGUGCGCAACGACCUGCGCUACUGCACUAAUAGCCUUGACAGAGCACUAGGGCCGGCUCGACAGGGCAUGCAGCCCGCCGGUGGAUGCCUGAAUGUGCGCGA